This 72-nucleotide transfer RNA is filed under the name Butorides striata (green-backed heron). RNAcentral describes it as "tRNA-Val". The record is from RNAcentral. Lineage: Eukaryota; Metazoa; Chordata; Aves; Pelecaniformes; Ardeidae.
CAAGGCGUAGCUAUAAUACAAAGCGUUCAGCUUACACCUGAAAGAUAUCCACCACCUGCCGGAUCGCCUUGA